UACACUCCUACGGGAGGCAGCAGUGGGGAAUAUUGGACAAUGGGCGCAAGCCUGAUCCAGCCAUGCCGCGUGAGUGAUGAAGGCCCUAGGGUUGUAAAGCUCUUUCACCGGUGAAGAUAAUGACGGUAACCGGAGAAGAAGCCCCGGCUAACUUCGUGCCAGCAGCCGCGGUAAUACGAAGGGGGCUAGCGUUGUUCGGAUUUACUGGGCGUAAAGCGCACGUAGGCGGACUAUUAAGUCAGGGGUGAAAUCCCGGGGCUCAACCCCGGAACUGCCUUUGAUACUGGUAGUCUUGAGUUCGAGAGAGGUGAGUGGAAUGCCGAGUGUAGAGGUGAAAUUCGUAGAUAUUCGGAGGAACACCAGUGGCGAAGGCGGCUCACUGGCUCGAUACUGACGCUGAGGUGCGAAAGCGUGGGGAGCAAACAGGAUUAGAAACCCCAGUAGUCCCA
Molecule: ribosomal RNA, 449 nt
Filed under: uncultured organism
Description: partial 16S ribosomal RNA
Rfam family: Bacterial small subunit ribosomal RNA
Source: RNAcentral